RNAcentral lists this non-coding RNA (30 nucleotides) under Rattus norvegicus (Norway rat). The record is from RNAcentral. Lineage: Eukaryota; Metazoa; Chordata; Mammalia; Rodentia; Muridae.
UAUCGGACUCUUCACGUAGCCUUACCUCAC